Molecule: ribosomal RNA, 468 nt
Filed under: uncultured bacterium
Lineage: Bacteria
Description: partial 16S ribosomal RNA
Rfam family: Bacterial small subunit ribosomal RNA
Source: RNAcentral
GAUGAACGCUGGCGGCGUGCUUAACACAUGCAAGUCGAACGGAAAGGCGCUGCGUUUGUGGGGUGCUCGAGUGGCGAACGGGUGAGUAACACGUGUGUAAACUGCCCUUAACUGUGGGAUAACUUCAGGAAACUGGGGCUAUUACAGGAUAGGAGCUCUUGCUGCGUGGUGGGGGUUGGAGAGUUUCGGCGGUUGGGGAUGGACUGGCGGGUUAACAGCUUGUUGGUGGGGUAGUGGCUUACCAAGGCUUUGACGGGUAGCCGGCCUGAGAGGGUGACCGGCCACACAGGGACUGAGAUACGGCCCAGACUGCUAAGGUGGGCAGCAGUGGGGAAUCCUGCACGAGGGACGGAAGCCUGAUGCAGCAACGCCUCGUGCGGGAAAACGCCCUUCGUGUUGAAAACCGCUUUCGCCUGUAACGAAGCGUGAGUGACGGGAAUCGGUAAAGAAGCCCCGGCUAACUACGUG